This 87-nucleotide transfer RNA is filed under the name Tissierella creatinophila DSM 6911. It matches the Rfam family "tRNA". From Rfam's summary of the family: Transfer RNA (tRNA) molecules are approximately 80 nucleotides in length. The record is from Rfam by way of RNAcentral. Lineage: Bacteria; Bacillati; Bacillota; Tissierellia; Tissierellales; Tissierellaceae.
GGAGAAAUGGCCGAGUGGUUGAAGGCGCUCGCCUGGAAAGCGGGUAAACGUGAAAGCGUUUCGAGGGUUCGAAUCCCUCUUUCUCCG